UUCGAAGAUACACGAAGAACCUUACCUGGUCCUUGACAUGGUAGGAACCUUAAGAGAUUAGGGGUGCUAGCUUGCUAGAACCUACACACAGGUGCUGCACGGCUGUCGUCAGCUCGUGUCGUGAGAUGUUGGGUUAAGUCCCGCAACGAGCGCAACCCUCGUCCUUAGUUGCUAACAGUUCGGCUGAGCACUCUAGGGAGACUGCCUUCGCAAGGAGGAGGAAGGUGAGGACGACGUCAAGUCAUCAUGGCCCUUACGGCCAGGGCUACACACGUGCUACAAUGGGGCGUACAGAGAGCUGCGAUACCGCGAGGUGGAGCCAAUCUCUUAAAGCGUCUCUCAGUUCGGAUUGUUCUCUGCAACUCGAGAACAUGAAGCUGGAAUCACUAGUAAUCGCAGAUCAGCUAUGCUGCGGUGAAUACGUUCCCGGGUCUU
This 435-nucleotide ribosomal RNA is filed under the name uncultured Sulfuricurvum sp. RNAcentral describes it as "bacterial SSU rRNA". It matches the Rfam family "Bacterial small subunit ribosomal RNA", at positions 950 to 1382 of the family's 1533-position model. Lineage: Bacteria; Pseudomonadati; Campylobacterota; Epsilonproteobacteria; Campylobacterales; Sulfurimonadaceae. The record is from RNAcentral.